Molecule: long non-coding RNA, 985 nt
Organism: Spinacia oleracea (spinach)
Lineage: Eukaryota; Viridiplantae; Streptophyta; Magnoliopsida; Caryophyllales; Amaranthaceae
Exons: 2
Source: RefSeq, a predicted model, not a curated record
UCUAACUCACCCUCACAUAUGACUGCCCCCUUCUCAAACACGGCACUUAACGAUCAAAAUUUUGAGGUAAAUCCUUAACUUCGUUCCUCGAAAUUGCUCUCAUUCAAAUUAUCUCUUCUCAAUCUGAUUCUUUCUCUCUGUUUGAAGAACUUUUCCCCUCAUAAUAUUUAGGGACAUCAAAAACGGAAUUGCGCUGCUCAUUCUUCAAUUGGAAUUUGGAGGAAUUGCGAGAACAAGAAAAUUGCGGGUUACAAUAUAAUUGCAACAAGAACUAUUUAAAGUAUUUUGACGAAAUUCCAUUAUUCAGUAGCAACAUACAAGCAAGCUUAUGGACACAACAUCAACUCAAUACCAUAUUAUGAGCAGUGGCCAUAUAUUGAUAUGCCUACAAUCCUUCCUCCAAUAAUGAAGAGAGCCACAGGAAGGCCAUCAAGGAAUAGAAGGAGGGAAGAUGGUGAGAAGGAGAAAGGAAAGAGAUCAACCAUUGUGCAGUGCAAAAAUUGCAAGUGAUUUGGUCACAAUUCAAGAACAUGUAAGGGUGGGUUAACAGGAAGGGAGAAAAGGGAACUUGCAAAAUAACAAGCAGUUGCAUCACAAUCUGAUCAUGCUGAUGAGGGUAAAAGGAAGACUACUUUCUGUGCAUCCCAGCCAACACCUAGCAUCUCUACUCUUGCGGGUAAGGGAAACAAUAAGGCCUGUGCAUCGCAGCUAACUCCUAACAUCUCUACUCAAGCUGGGAAUAGGAAGAGGAACCAUCAGGAGUCUGCAUCACAACCUAUUUCAACUCUGUCAGCAAUAGAAAGAAAAAGAAGAAUGUCUACAAGUUAAUUUUUGCUGGUUAUCUUGUCUUAUUUUUUUCAUGUGUUUAUUCUCUAAUUAAAGUAGAACAACGCAAUUUGAUUUUGGUAAAUGAUGUAUGUCAACAUCUGUAGUAUUUGAACAAGACAUUUUUGUCAGAAUUAAGUUUUGAAUUUGAUAGCUCCAA